Molecule: long non-coding RNA, 391 nt
Organism: Rhineura floridana
Lineage: Eukaryota; Metazoa; Chordata; Lepidosauria; Squamata; Rhineuridae
Exons: 3
Source: RefSeq, a predicted model, not a curated record
GAGCACUGGGAACAGAUAAAGAAAGUAAAGAACUAGCCAAGCAGAUCCAGCCAAGCAGUGCUGCAGGGAAACAGGAACCCCCCAGGAGCCAGAUGUCCAAGAACAAACUGAAAAAGGCUCUGAGUUCAGCUCGACAAACAAGCAGCCUUACUUUUGGAACCAUCUAUAGUGUCCUGUCCUCAUCUAUGGAGAAACUGAAACUGUCAAAAAGCAGGGAAGAUUCUAAGGUACUGGGGCAGAGCAAGGGUGCGGUUUGAAUGAAACAUUUUGUGAGUCAGAGAUGCUCUUCUGGUGCAUCUGAUUGUCAUAUGCUUCCCUGUUCCUAAAAUAAGAUGGCAGGUGUGAGGUCAAUAGGGUGAUCUUCUCUACUCACUAUUCACAACUACAGCUG